GAUGAACGCUGGCGGCGUGCCUAAUACAUGCAAGUCGAGCGAACGGACGAGAAGCUUGCUUCUCUGAUGUUAGCGGCGGACGGGUGAGUAACACGUGGAUAACCUACCUAUAAGACUGGGAUAACUUCGGGAAACCGGAGCUAAUACCGGAUAAUAUUUUGAACCGCAUGGUUCAAAAGUGAAAGACGGUCUUGCUGUCACUUAUAGAUGGAUCCGCGCUGCAUUAGCUAGUUGGUAAGGUAACGGCUUACCAAGGCAACGAUGCAUAGCCGACCUGAGAGGGUGAUCGGCCACACUGGAACUGAGACACGGUCCAGACUCCUACGGGAGGCAGCAGUAGGGAAUCUUCCGCAAUGGGCGAAAGCCUGACGGAGCAACGCCGCGUGAGUGAUGAAGGUCUUCGGAUCGUAAAACUCUGUUAUUAGGGAAGAACAUAUGUGUAAGUAACUGUGCACAUCUUGACGGUACCUAAUCAGAAAGCCACGGCUAACUACGUGCCAGCAGCCGCGGUAAUACGUAGGUGGCAAGCGUUAUCCGGAAUUAUUGGGCGUAAAGCGCGCGUAGGCGGUUUUUUAAGUCUGAUGUGAAAGCCCACGGCUCAACCGUGGAGGGUCAUUGGAAACUGGAAAACUUGAGUGCAGAAGAGGAAAGUGGAAUUCCAUGUGUAGCGGUGAAAUGCGCAGAGAUAUGGAGGAACACCAGUGGCGAAGGCGACUUUCUGGUCUGUAACUGACGCUGAUGUACGAAAGCGUGGGGAUCAAACAGGAUUAGAUACCCUGGUAGUCCACGCCGUAAACGAUGAGUGCUAAGUGUUAGGGGGUUUCCGCCCCUUAGUGCUGCAGCUAACGCAUUAAGCACUCCGCCUGGGGAGUACGACCGCAAGGUUGAAACUCAAAGGAAUUGACGGGGACCCGCACAAGCGGUGGAGCAUGUGGUUUAAUUCGAAGCAACGCGAAGAACCUUACCAAAUCUUGACAUCCUUUGACAACUCUAGAGAUAGAGCCUUCCCCUUCGGGGGACAAAGUGACAGGUGGUGCAUGGUUGUCGUCAGCUCGUGUCGUGAGACGUUGGGUUAAGUCCCGCAACGAGCGCAACCCUUAAGCUUAGUUGCCAUCAUUAAGUUGGGCACUCUAAGUUGACUGCCGGUGACAAACCGGAGGAAGGUGGGGAUGACGUCAAAUCAUCAUGCCCCUUAUGAUUUGGGCUACACACGUGCUACAAUGGACAAUACAAAGGGCAGCGAAACCGCGAGGUCAAGCAAAUCCCAUAAAGUUGUUCUCAGUUCGGAUUGUAGUCUGCAACUCGACUACAUGAAGCUGGAAUCGCUAGUAAUCGUAGAUCAGCAUGCUACGGUGAAUACGUUCCCGGGUCU
Molecule: ribosomal RNA, 1372 nt
Filed under: uncultured bacterium
Lineage: Bacteria
Description: bacterial SSU rRNA
Rfam family: Bacterial small subunit ribosomal RNA
Source: RNAcentral